This is a long non-coding RNA of Triticum aestivum (bread wheat), 1345 nucleotides long. RefSeq lists it as uncharacterized. The transcript is spliced from 4 exons. The record is from RefSeq and is a predicted model, not a curated record. NCBI's taxonomy places the organism in Eukaryota, Viridiplantae, Streptophyta, Magnoliopsida, Poales, Poaceae.
CGUCUCCAUAGCAUACCACGCCCACGCGCCGCGCGCAUUCGGGUCUGCCUCGCCGCCGCGCCGCGCAGACGACCCGCCUUCCUCAGCGGCGGAGACGACCCGCCUUCCUCAGCCGCGGAGACGACCCGCCGGCCGCCCCCGCCUUCCUCAGCCGCGGACACGACCCGCUGACCGCCCCCGACACGGACCCUCACCCUCGCCGCGCCGAGCGCCGCCUGCUCUGGCAGCGUCCCUGCAAUAGAAGGAAUAUAAUAUACUGGCCUGAGGUUUGAGUGUUGUUGGUCACAAAACGCUUGAGACAUCUGCGCUCUAUCCCAGAUCUAUUUCCUCCUGCUGCUCUUGAUAAGCACGCAAGGAGUCCUUUCAUCUCAGAUCGUUUGGACAGCACUACUCGAUCAUAAUUUACAACCUUAGGUUUGGGGCUGGAAUGCUAUCGAAUAUUUUAAGCUCGGUUAUUUGAACCAAGAUCAGUAUACAAUGAGAAUGGAACUCUUGUUGUCGCAAUUUUUGAUAUAUCGAAAAUGCCAUCAAGAAUAUUUGUUGUCAAAGUGUUUUCACGACUUAUUCAAAGACAACAAGAAUGGAACUCGGGAUGUCAGUUCAAAUGUCAAAUUCUCAAAACUUUUGGAAGGCAACUUGUGGAACUUUAGGUCAUGAGGAUGGAAAACUUAUGUGCGCUUAUCAUUUCAUCAACUUUCUAGUUCCUGUUUUGAAAGUUGAUAAACAAAUCACAUCUCCAUGAGACUUUGAAUCGUAAAAGAGAAUGGAACUUGGAUUGCCACUUUAACUAUCGAAUUCCUGGAUAUUUUUGAAAGGCAACUUGUGGAAGGAAUUAGAGCUUUAGAUCACGAAGAUGGAAAACCUUUAUCGACACUUUUCAUUCUGCAACUUUCCAGGUUUUUUUUGUUCUAUGUUCAUAGCAAACCCAGUCUCCAAAAGGAGCUUGAAUUGUAAAUGAGAACAGAGUAUUGUGCUUGUAAUUUAUUUCUUCUUCAGAUUUCACUUUCUCGUGUAAUUGUACUUUGCUUAUUAUAUGAAUCAAUAAAGAUACUCUCUGCAAUUUCUACUUUUGAGUAUAUUUCUUAUUGGAUUCGUGCAAAUUGUAUGUUUGAUAUAAUAGCAUGUUACUGUACACGUGUUUGUUUUCAAAUUGGAUCUUGUUGGUAAGGUUUCAAACUUGUCCAUUUUGUUUGCCCAUCAGAAUUUAAGAAAUCCCCUAAAAGAAUCAGACUCAAAGGAAAAAAAAAAGGCUCACUGUAGACUUUUUUUAAGGAAAAAAAAAACUACAUACCUUUUAUUUUAGUUCCUAAAGAUCUGUUUUCUGUCCCACUUAAUAUGACCAGAC